AGCAAAUAGUUCAAAGUCCUAACACAAGGCUUCAGUUGUGGGACCAAAGGCCGAUUUAAAAGCCAGACACCGCAGCGUAGUGAGCAAAUCUCAUAACAGACAAUAGAAAGGACUGUGUAUGAUUUGUUGACAAUUUGGAGUUACAAACCAACGGAAGCCCCUUGAAGAUGGGACACAUAAUAUCUGUAUUUGUCAGGGAGCUGCCUGGUGCUUACAUAUUUGGAGGAAUUUUCCUGCCUGUGACAUUGUUGCUGUUAAGUCUUAUUUCAUAUCUCAGGAUAAAACUUGAGGAAGUAAAUGAAGAACUGGCUCGAGCCCGAAACCCCAGAGAGGCACUGCAAGACUCUUACCUUCAAUACAGGCAAUUAAAAGCAUCCAAAGGCCAGCAGACGAAGAAGACUUCCUAAUACAUCUAAACAUCUAAUAGCAGCACAUAUGAGGAGUCAUUUUAACUAUUAAUAAGGUUAAUCCUUGUUUGCUUUAAACAUGUAGGAAAAGUCUAUUUUUUUUUAUUCCUUCCUACAUGAGCUUGGGUGUUUAAAUUAAACAUAGGUUUACUUCACCAAAAGUGAACAUUACUCCUUUAGUAAAUCAACCCCGUAAUGUGAAUUUUCUGACACUCCUUGCGAAAAAGGAAGAAGCUAAGAAAGACUAAGCACAGCUUCGAGGGGAAAGAAAAUGGCGCUUGGCAAUUAAAAUGUGUUUCCUGGAGAAAGGCUUUUCACCUGAGACUUUAAAGCUGGAGCUAUCUAAAAUACGUCACUGGCCGAUUUACUCAUGGCUACUGGCGUUGCCUGUGGAACAGAAUAUGCUCUAGUCAUCCAAAUCUCCUUCUUCUGCAGUUAUGCUGCUCAGAACUGUCCAUGUGCAAUCAUAUAACAGGAGUGGUGCGUCGGAGCUAUGAAGAAAAUAAGCCUAUUAUAUAGUUCAGAUUCAUUCCAAGGAGGACAUCAUAUUUUUCUUAAUAGAUGUGUAGACGUUUUUUGCAAUUAUCACACAGCCUUUUGAGCAGUAAUAUGUCUGUAAAGCAGCCAAUUUGUCAUUGAACUCUUGCCUGUCUGAAUUUUUUUUCAUCCGUACAGUAUUUUCAUGACCGGUAUGGUAAGGAUGUAUCGGGACAAACUGUGAUCUUGACUGAGCCCAUCAUUAGAGCAAAGAAGCCUCACACAGUAAUUUCAUAAUGGCAAAAGGUAAUAAAAAAGCAGCAAUUACCUGAAGUGUGGGAGUUGUUUGUGCAGUACCUGGCAGAAAGCACAUACCGUAUUAUCUAUUUACUUCUAUGAUACAAAAAGAAAAAAAAAAACAA
This is a long non-coding RNA of Rana temporaria (common frog), 1306 nucleotides long. RefSeq lists it as uncharacterized. NCBI's taxonomy places the organism in Eukaryota, Metazoa, Chordata, Amphibia, Anura, Ranidae. The record is from RefSeq and is a predicted model, not a curated record. The transcript has 2 exons.